RNAcentral lists this ribosomal RNA (147 nucleotides) under uncultured Sulfurihydrogenibium sp. Its description in RNAcentral is "partial 16S ribosomal RNA". It matches the Rfam family "Bacterial small subunit ribosomal RNA", at positions 312 to 458 of the family's 1533-position model. The record is from RNAcentral. Lineage: Bacteria; Pseudomonadati; Aquificota; Aquificia; Aquificales; Hydrogenothermaceae.
UUCUACGGGAGGCAGCAGUGGGGAAUUUCACGGGGGGCAGCAGUGGGGAAUAUUGGGCAAUGGCCGAAAGGCUGACCCAGCAACGCCGCGUGGUGGAUGAAGCCCUUCGGGGUGUAAACACCUUUUCUGGGGGAAGAUAAUGACGUA